Non-coding RNA from Manis javanica (Malayan pangolin), 649 nucleotides. Lineage: Eukaryota; Metazoa; Chordata; Mammalia; Pholidota; Manidae. The record is from RefSeq and is a predicted model, not a curated record.
ACCCGCCCCCCCGCCGUCGAAGGGAAAAUAGCUCGGAAGGUGCUGGGAAUACACUAGCCCUGUUGAGGUGUGGGGAGCAUUCGGGCUGGGGGCUCGGCGCUUUCUCUUGAGUGACAGCCCGGUCUACUGGCAGCUGCAGCUGGGGCCCCUGGGGCUAUUUUGGGGCGUGAGCUCACGGCAGCUGCGCUGGCGCAGGGGCCGGCGUGCCCCCCUCAGCUGUAGCAGCCGCUGCCCUUAAUUUAGAAGGUUCCUGUAAAUCCUCCUGGAUUAAAUGUCUCUUGAGAGGCGGGGCUCUUCCACAGCUUGAGUGCCUCAGUUUACCCUGAGUCCCAGACUCUGGGUUUGCGUCACCGAGGUGGUGGUGAUAGCGGAGAGUCUCACCGAGGACUUGAGGAAACUGAGGAAGGAAAAAGGAACAAGAGUUAAAGAAGAGGAAAAUAUGGAAAAGGCAGCCUCUUCUUUCCAACAGUCAGCCAUUUUCCAGAACCUGGGACCCCAUUUCUAGAGGAAUGGCUUGGAGAGAAGGUAAAUCUUCUCCAUGCCUGCACAUAAAGAAGGUUCAGCUGGACGGGGUCCCGGGAGUCCACGUUCUGGUCUGAGUAGAAGAACUUCCUCCGCAGCAGAAGGGUCUCUUGCUCCUCCACUCCCU